AUUGAACGCUGGCGGCAUGCUCUACACAUGCAAGUCGAACGGUAACAGGCCGCAAGGUGCUGACGAGUGGCGGACGGGUGAGUAAUGCAUCGGAACGUGCCCAGUCGUGGGGGAUAACUACUCGAAAGAGUAGCUAAUACCGCAUACGAUCUAUGGUUGAAAGCGGGGGACCGUAAGGCCUCGCGCGAUUGGAGCGGCCGAUGUCAGAUUAGGUAGUUGGUGGGGUAAAGGCUCACCAAGCCAACGAUCUGUAGCUGGUCUGAGAGGACGACCAGCCACACUGGGACUGAGACACGGCCCAGACUCCUACGGGAGGCAGCAGUGGGGAAUUUUGGACAAUGGGCGCAAGCCUGAUCCAGCAAUGCCGCGUGCAGGAAGAAGGCCUUCGGGUUGUAAACUGCUUUUGUACGGAACGAAACGGCUCUGGUUAAUACCCGGGGGUAACGACGGUACCGUAAGAAUAAGCACCGGCUAACUACGUG
Molecule: ribosomal RNA, 482 nt
Filed under: uncultured bacterium
Lineage: Bacteria
Description: partial 16S ribosomal RNA
Rfam family: Bacterial small subunit ribosomal RNA
Source: RNAcentral